AGAACGAACGCUGGCGGCAGGCCUAAUACAUGCAAGUCGAACGCACUCUUCGGAGUGAGUGGCAGACGGGUGAGUAACGCGUGGGAACCUUCCCAAUGGUACGGAAUAACUCCGGGAAACCGGUGCUAAUACCGUAUAAGCCCCUCGGGGGAAAGAUUUAUCGCCAUUGGAUGGGCCCGCGUCGGAUUAGCUAGUUGGUAAGGUAAUGGCUUACCAAGGCUACGAUCCGUAGCUGGUCUGAGAGGAUGAUCAGCCACACUGGGACUGAGACACGGCCCAGACUCCUACGGGAGGCAGCAGUAGGGAAUCUUGGACAAUGGGCGAAAGCCUGAUCCAGCCAUGCCGCGUGAGUGAAGAAGGCCUUAGGGUUGUAAAGCUCUUUGGCGGGUACGAUAAUGACGGUACCGCAGAAUAAGCCCGGCUAACUUCGUGCCAGUAGCCGC
RNAcentral lists this ribosomal RNA (443 nucleotides) under uncultured soil bacterium. Its description in RNAcentral is "bacterial SSU rRNA". It matches the Rfam family "Bacterial small subunit ribosomal RNA", at positions 26 to 518 of the family's 1533-position model. The record is from RNAcentral.